UACCCAGGCACACCUGAGGUUUCUUCUAAAAGGCAGUCUUUUUAUUUGAAACAAGGAAGUGCAGACAACGUUUUGGCUCCUCUCUGACUUGAUAAAGGCUCAAUUGUUGACUCCACUUCCUUGUUUCAAAUUUUUAAAAAAAAGAGUGCCUUUUAGAAGAAACCUUAGGUGUGCCUGGGUA
Pelobates cultripes (western spadefoot toad) is the source of this 181-nucleotide non-coding RNA. Lineage: Eukaryota; Metazoa; Chordata; Amphibia; Anura; Pelobatidae. The record is from the annotation of a GenBank genome assembly.